RNAcentral lists this ribosomal RNA (1290 nucleotides) under metagenome. RNAcentral describes it as "SSU rRNA". It matches the Rfam family "Eukaryotic small subunit ribosomal RNA", at positions 558 to 1761 of the family's 1831-position model. The record is from RNAcentral.
AGUCUGGUGCCAGCAGCCGCGGUAAUUCCAGCUCCAAUAGCGUAUAUUAAAGUUGCUGCAGUUAAAAAGCUCGUAGUUGGAUUUCUGACAUUUUGUGAUUGUAGUCUGGCCCGGUUGAUUCAUCGACUGAGUGCUGGAUUGCUCGUGUCAUCCUUCUGGUGGUCGUUCUUGCAUGGCAUGUUCAUUGACAAGGUGAAGCCUUCAUUGGUUUUGUCUUGAAGGAGUACGAGUUGUGUGAGUACGGUUACUGCCAGAUCUUUUACUUUGAAAAAAUUAGAGUGUUUAAGGCAGGCUUAUGCCAUGAAUACAUUUGCAUGGAAUAAUAAUUUAGGACUUUGGUUUUAAUUUUGUUGGUUCUCAAGGGCUGAAGUAAUGAUUGAUAGGGACAGUUGGGGGUGCUCGUAUUCAGUGGCCAGAGGUGAAAUUCUUGGAUUCACUGAAGACGAACUUAUGCGAAAGCAUUCACCAAGGAUGUCUUCUUUAAUCAAGAACGAAAGUUGGGGGAUCGAAGACGAUUAGAUACCGUCGUAGUCUCAACUAUAAACUAUGCCGACUAGGGAUGGGUGAGUGUUGUUUUUAAUAUCGACUUCAUCCGAACCUUAUGAGAAAUCAAAGUCUUUGGGUUCCGGGGGGAGUAUGGUCGCAAGGCUGAAACUUAAAGGAAUUGACGGAAGGGCACACCAGGAGUGGAGCCUGCGGCUUAAUUUGACCCAACACGGGAAAACUUACCAGGUCCGGACACAGUGAGGAUUGACAGAUGGAAGAUCUUUCUUGAUUCUGUGGGUGGUGGUGCAUGGCCGUUCUUAGUUGGUGCUGUGAAGUGUCUGUUUAAUUACGUUAACGAACGAGACCACGACCUAUUAAAUAGUUGGGUUUAACUUGUGAAGGUUAGACAGAAGGUUGUAUUCUGUCAAAGGAAUAUGAUCGACCAACUUCUUAAAGGGACUAUCGGUGUUUAAUAGCCGGGGGAAGUACGUGGCAAUAACAGGUCUGUGAUGCCCUUUAGAUGUUCUGGGCCGCACGCGCGCUACACUGAUGGGUGCAUCGAGUUUUUAUCCUUAACCGAAAGGUUUGGGUAAUCUUUUUAAAACCCAUCGUGCUGGGGAUAGACCAUUGUAAUUAUUGGUCUUCAACGAGGAAUUCCUAGUAAACGCAAGUCAUCAGCUUGCAUUGAUUACGUCCCUGCCCUUUGUACACACCGCCCGUCGCUGCUACCGAUUGAAUGAAUUAGUGAGCUUCAUGGAUUACUUUUUUCGAAGGCAACUUUGAAAAUGGGUGAGAAGUGAAUCC